This 480-nucleotide ribosomal RNA is filed under the name uncultured bacterium. Its description in RNAcentral is "bacterial SSU rRNA". It matches the Rfam family "Bacterial small subunit ribosomal RNA", at positions 28 to 519 of the family's 1533-position model. The record is from RNAcentral.
GACGAACGCUGGCGGCGUGCUUAACACAUGCAAGUCGAACGAUGAGGCCUCAGCUUGCUGGGGUGGAUUAGUGGCGAACGGGUGAGUAACACGUGAGUAACCUGCCUUUCACUCUGGGAUAAGCCUUGGAAACGGGGUCUAAUACUGGAUAUGACUGCCCUUCUCAUGGGGGGUGGUGGAAAGCUUUUGUGGUGGAAGAUGGACUCGCGGCCUAUCAGCUUGUUGGUGAGGUAGUGGCUUACCAAGGCUUUGACGGGUAGCCGGCCUGAGAGGGUGACCGGCCACACUGGGACUGAGACACGGCCCAGACUCCUACGGGAGGCAGCAGUGGGGAAUAUUGCACAAUGGGCGGAAGCCUGAUGCAGCGACGCCGCGUGAGGGAUGACGGCCUUCGGGUUGUAAACCUCUUUCGCUAGGGACGAAGAUUUUUUGACGGUACCUAGAGAAGAAGCACCGGCUAACUACGUGCCAGCAGCCGCG